GACGAACGCUGGCGGCGUGCUUAACACAUGCAAGUCGAACGGAAAGGCCCUGCUUUUGUGGGGUGCUCGAGUGGCGAACGGGUGAGUAACACGUGAGUAACCUGCCCUUGACUUUGGGAUAACUUCAGGAAACUGGGGCUAAUACCGGAUAGGAGCUCCUGCUGCAUGGUGGGGGUCGGAAAGUUUCGGCGGUUGGGGAUGGACUCGCGGCUUAUCAGCUUGUUGGUGGGGUAGUGGCUUACCAAGGCUUUGACGGGUAGCCGGCCUGAGAGGGUGACCGGCCACAUUGGGACUGAGAUACGGCCCAGACUCCUACGGGAGGCAGCAGUGGGGAAUAUUGCACAAUGGGCGGAAGCCUGAUGCAGCAACGCCGCGUGCGGGAUGACGGCCUUCGGGUUGUAAACCGCUUUCGCCUGUGACGAAGCGUGAGUGACGGUAAUGGGUAAAGAAGCACCGGCUAACUACGUGCCAGCAGCCGCGGUGAUACGUAGGGUGCGAGCGUUGUCCGGAUUUAUUGGGCGUAAAGGGCUCGUAGGUGGUUGAUCGCGUCGGAAGUGUAAUCUUGGGGCUUAACCCUGAGCGUGCUUUCGAUACGGGUUGACUUGAGGAAGGUAGGGGAGAAUGGAAUUCCUGGUGGAGCGGUGGAAUGCGCAGAUAUCAGGAGGAACACCAGUGGCGAAGGCGGUUCUCUGGGCCUUUCCUGACGCUGAGGAGCGAAAGCGUGGGGAGCGAACAGGCUUAGAUACCCUGGUAGUCCACGCUGUAAACGGUGGGUACUAGGUGUGGGGUCCAUUCCACGGGUUCCGUGCCGUAGCUAACGCUUUAAGUACCCCGCCUGGGGAGUACGGCCGCAAGGCUAAAACUCAAAGGAAUUGACGGGGCCCCGCACAAGCGGCGGAGCAUGCGGAUUAAUUCGAUGCAACGCGUAGAACCUUACCUGGGUUUGACAUGGGUCGGGAGUGCUCAGAGAUGGGUGUGCCUCCUUUGGGGUCGGUUCACAGGUGGUGCAUGGCUGUCGUCAGCUCGUGUCGUGAGAUGUUGGGUUAAGUCCCGCAACGAGCGCAACCCUUGUUCACUGUUGCCAGCACGUUAUGGUGGGGACUCAGUGGAGACCGCCGGGGUCAACUCGGAGGAAGGUGGGGAUGACGUCAAGUCAUCAUGCCCCUUAUGUCCAGGGCUUCACGCAUGCUACAAUGGCUGGUACAGAGAGUGGCGAGCCUGUGAGGGUGAGCGAAUCUCGGAAAGCCGGUCUCAGUUCGGAUUGGGGUCUGCAACUCGACCUCAUGAAGUCGGAGUCGCUAGUAAUCGCAGAUCAGCAACGCUGCGGUGAAUACGUUCCCGGGGCU
Molecule: ribosomal RNA, 1346 nt
Filed under: uncultured bacterium
Lineage: Bacteria
Description: partial 16S ribosomal RNA
Rfam family: Bacterial small subunit ribosomal RNA
Source: RNAcentral